AACGGCUGAACCAGCAACUUGGAGGAAUGUAUAGCAAUAGCUACUUGCAUCAUUGUAAUGAUGAUGCAAGAUCGACUAUGUUGAAUAAAAUUCUAGGUAGAAUUAUGAUAAUGACAUUGUCUGCCUAUGUGUCUUGACCAAAUUACGUGCCAGCAGUCGCGGUAAUACGUAGAAGACUAGUGUUAUUCAUGUUUAAUCGGUUUAAAGGGUACCUAGACGGUAAAUCAAGCUUUCAAUUUUCUUGAAUAAUAAAACAAAAUAAAUAAAACAAGAAGAUAAAUGAUAGGGACUAAUUUGCUAGAGUUACUUAUGAGGGGGUUUUAAAGUACUGCUGGUGUAGAGAUGAAAUUCUGUAAUACCUCUUUUCAAUAGAAAAAUUAUGGCACAGGUAUAGGCGAAAGCAUCCCCUUAUGGGAUAACUGACGUUGAGGGACGAAGGCUUUUUGUAGCAAAUAGGAUUAGAGACCCUAGUAGUUGAAGCAGAAAAUGAUGAAUGUCAUAGAUUAGAUAUAUAAGUUUAUUCUAUAAAUGAAAGUGUAAGCAUUCCACCUCAAGAGUAAUUUGGCAACAUUGGAACUGAAAUCAUUAGACCGUUUCUGAAACCAGUAGUGAAGUAUGUUGUUUAAUUUGAUGAUCCGCAAAAAACCUUACCACAACUUGAAUAUUUAUAUUUUUUAUUGUUUUUUUUUAUUUAUCUAGAAAAUAUAAUAAAAAUAUCAUGAAGAUAAUUAAUGAAGAGGCAAUAACAUAUAUUUACAAGCGUUGCACGGCUGUCUUCAGUUAAUGUCGCGAGACUCUGGUUAGUUCCAUUAAAUUAACGUAAACCCUUACUUUAUUUUUAUAUAAAGUAGUUCCCCGCUAUAUUGGAUAUGAU
RNAcentral lists this ribosomal RNA (874 nucleotides) under Oropogon striatulus. RNAcentral's name for it is "SSU rRNA". It matches the Rfam family "Bacterial small subunit ribosomal RNA", at positions 378 to 1174 of the family's 1533-position model. Lineage: Eukaryota; Fungi; Ascomycota; Lecanoromycetes; Lecanorales; Parmeliaceae. The record is from RNAcentral.